Molecule: non-coding RNA, 72 nt
Organism: Geminocystis sp. NIES-3709
Lineage: Bacteria; Bacillati; Cyanobacteriota; Cyanophyceae; Chroococcales; Geminocystaceae
Source: Rfam
GGGGCUGUAGUUCAAUGGACAGAACAAGCACCUCCUAAGUGCUAAAUAACGGUUCGACUCCGUUCAGUCCUG